RNAcentral lists this transfer RNA (74 nucleotides) under Pteropus alecto (black flying fox). It matches the Rfam family "tRNA". From Rfam's summary of the family: Transfer RNA (tRNA) molecules are approximately 80 nucleotides in length. Their secondary structure includes four short double-helical elements and three loops (D, anti-codon, and T loops). The record is from Rfam by way of RNAcentral. Lineage: Eukaryota; Metazoa; Chordata; Mammalia; Chiroptera; Pteropodidae.
GGUUCCAUAGUAUAGUAGUUAGCACGUCUGCUUUACAUGCAGAAGAUCCUGCGUUUGCACUCCAGGUGGAGUCA